Molecule: long non-coding RNA, 1727 nt
Organism: Cornus florida
Lineage: Eukaryota; Viridiplantae; Streptophyta; Magnoliopsida; Cornales; Cornaceae
Exons: 2
Source: RefSeq, a predicted model, not a curated record
GUGAACAGUAAGCCAUUUUUGGAACACUACACGUUUGGGCCGGGCUGUGCUGGUUUGCACAGUUGCAUAACACAUUGUCAAAAAGGCUGAAAUCUUGGAACACCAAAUUGGUGUUCUUGGUUGUUCCGACUUCAUUCAAGGCCCAACUUUCACUGUAGCAACUGCACCACUUCAAACCACUUGUUCUGAUUUGAGAACAACUAUAAACACAAAUAGGAACAUGUUCUAGGGCUAGAAGCUGUCUGGCAAGUCGCCGCCACUCCACUACUGCUUAAGAGCAAAUCGUGAUUUGGCCAGAUUCAAACUCAAAUCGACGACUGGAACUUCAGAGUACAAAGCCUCUGUGUGCAUCGCCUCUCUCUCUCUCUUCUCUGUAUUUCCGGCCGAUUAGUGUCGCAGCUGCCAAAGACUCCCCUACACAGUACAAAUCGACGACUGGCUCUGCAGAUCUGAAGCCUCUGUGUUCAUCGCCUCUCUCUCCACAGUACAAAUCUGUGAUCUGAUUUUCCGGCCAAUUUAGGACAACCACAGACGCCGGCCGCCGUCUGCAACCUCCGGUCUUCUUCUCCGGCGACGGUUUGCCAAUAAAAGGUCCACUCUUCUUCUCCCCAAGCUGUCUAUCUCUAUUUCACAAUUUGAUUAAUCCAAAUUCUCUACCUAUACAAUUGAUUAAGGACCAUCAGGCAUAAUAUUAAGAUAGUAAUUAAAAUAUACCAACAAAAAAUUAUGGACGAAUCUAUAUUUAAGUUUUAAAUAUUUUCAUUUAAUUUUUCUUAUUAUAUUUCAAAGUUAGCAGUAACAAAGGCAAUUGCUAAUGGGAGAGGUAGGGGUUCUUUAAUUUCAAUGGGUUUUGACGGCAAUAAAAGGCAAGAUCAUGAGAAAGUGCAAGGUCCCAUAUCUGUCCACAAUCUGACAUUACAAAGUGUAGGCCUAAAGAUGAAAAGCUGAAUAGAAUCUGGGGACGGAACCACAAAUCAAACUCGCAUUAGAAAAGAACGAACAUUCAACCAGAGUAGACUUUAACAAAUUACUAAUAUAGCUUCAGCUAUAGAUAUUUUUCUAGUGGUUGGUCAAGACUUUAGAAUAGCCUAAGGCUGGAGAUUUUUUAAUACAUGGAAAAAGUAAUAAUUCAAAGGAAAUUAACUACUUAAUUCAUCAAUGUUAACUCAAGUUUGACAUCUUAACAGUAUAUAUAACGAAUAUAUUAUAGACAGAGACAUCACAUGAUACUUAUAUUUCUGUAUGUUAAAUGAAUAUUUCUGUAUCGAUUUGAUUUGAGAAAUGAAAAUUUUAUUCUAUGAAAAUUUAUCUGAAGCGUGUCUUAUGCAUUGCCUAUGAUGGUUGCUUCAUUUCAACACUAAGAACAAAUUAAAUGUUUUUUUUUCCUUGGCUAAGGAAGUUUGGAAGUGCUUCAUGUCUUGCUGCAAAUGGGAGGGUGUCCUUCAAUAGACUAAUCUACAGGAUGUGGUCCAGUGGUUUGAAGCUCAAAGUUGCUAGAAAUCUAUUUUGUGCCAAUUUUGGGCAAAUUUGGACUAGAGAGGAACUCAGACUUGGUGAAGACAAGAAAAGAGAUAUUGGUUUGGUUGUUCCUUGGGCUCAGUAUGGAAGAUUGAUUUUGUUAGUAUUUUUUGUUUGAUCUUUGGCUGGAGUACUUGCUUUGUACCUCCAGUGUGUAUUUUGUAUCAGCAAUAAAAUUCGGAUGUGUGACCUGUUUGUGUUUGUUAGUA